Molecule: transfer RNA, 86 nt
Filed under: Escherichia coli
Lineage: Bacteria; Pseudomonadati; Pseudomonadota; Gammaproteobacteria; Enterobacterales; Enterobacteriaceae
Description: tRNA-Leu
Rfam family: tRNA
About the family: Transfer RNA (tRNA) molecules are approximately 80 nucleotides in length. Their secondary structure includes four short double-helical elements and three loops (D, anti-codon, and T loops). Further hydrogen bonds mediate the characteristic L-shaped molecular structure. tRNAs have two regions of fundamental functional importance: the anti-codon, which is responsible for specific mRNA codon recognition, and the 3' end, to which the tRNAs corresponding amino acid is attached (by aminoacyl-tRNA synthetases). tRNAs cope with the degeneracy of the genetic code in two manners: having more than one tRNA (with a specific anti-codon) for a particular amino acid; and 'wobble' base-pairing, i.e. permitting non-standard base-pairing at the 3rd anti-codon position.
Source: RNAcentral
GCCCGGAUGGUGGAAUCGGUAGACACAAGGGAUUUAAAAUCCCUCGGCGUUCGCGCUGUGCGGGUUCAAGUCCGCUCCGGGUACCA